UGGGGAAUAUUGGACAAUGGGGGCAACCCUGAUCCAGCAAUGCCGCGUGAGUGAUGAAGGCCUUCGGGUUGUAAAGCUCUUUUGUCAGGGACGAUGAUGACGGUACCUGACGAAUAAGCUCCGGCUAACUUCGUGCCAGCAGCCGCGGUAAUACGAAGGGAGCUAGCGUUGUUCGGAAUUACUGGGCGUAAAGGGCGCGUAGGCGGUCUUAUAAGUUUGGUGUGAAAGCCCUGGGCUUAACCUGGGAACUGCAUUGGAUACUGUAAGACUUGAGACCGAGAGAGGGAAAUGGAAUUGCGAGUGUAGAGGUGAAAUUCGUAGAUAUUCGCAAGAACACCAGUGGCGAAGGCGAUUUCCUGGCUCGGUACUGACGCUAAGGCGCGAAAGCGUGGGGAGCAAA
RNAcentral lists this ribosomal RNA (400 nucleotides) under uncultured bacterium. RNAcentral describes it as "bacterial SSU rRNA". It matches the Rfam family "Bacterial small subunit ribosomal RNA", at positions 355 to 772 of the family's 1533-position model. The record is from RNAcentral.